This 613-nucleotide long non-coding RNA is filed under the name Rattus norvegicus (Norway rat). Its description in RNAcentral is "long non-coding RNA NONRATT016989". Lineage: Eukaryota; Metazoa; Chordata; Mammalia; Rodentia; Muridae. The record is from RNAcentral.
GCACUAUUGAAAUUAGCCAGUAAGGAUAAAGCUUUCACAUCAGUACCAGCUUGUUACAUAUCCUGUAACGAAAGUGUAUGGUACCUCUUAUAAGAGCAUCAUAUUGUCAAAGAACUAUGAAAGUGUCGACUCUUGGGCUUGCUGAGAGUGAGUCCCAAAACCUAGUAAUUGUGUGGAUGAUAUUUCUGUAUGUCAAUGGAGGACCUCAGCAGAAUAUAGUUUUCCCAUUACCAACGAUUAAUCCAACCAUUGUCAGAGACAUUUACACACAUAUUUAGCAUGUGGCUCCUGAGUUGGUAAAACUGCUUCCCCUUUUUUUUUUUUUUUUAAAGGAUAUGGAGGUGGUUUUAAUGAAAGAGAGAAUGUUGAAUACAUAGAAAGAGAAGAAUCUGAUGGGGAAUAUGAUGAGUUUGGACGUAAAAAGAAAAAAUACAGGGGGAAGGCAGUUGGUCCUGCAUCUAUAUUAAAGGAAGUCGAAGAUAAAGAAUCAGAGGGAGAAGAAGAGGAUGAGGAUGAAGAUCUCUCUAAAUAUAAGCUAGAUGAGGACGAGGAUGAAGAUGAUGCUGAUCUCUCAAAAUAUAAUCUUGAUGCCAGUGAAGAGGAAGAUAGUAAC